CGGGCUUCCAUCUCUUUCCCAGCCUACAUCUCAACCUGGGCUGGCAAGAAAUGGCAGUCUACA
This 63-nucleotide microRNA precursor is filed under the name Caenorhabditis elegans. RNAcentral describes it as "Cel-Mir-73-P2_pre stem-loop". It matches the Rfam family "mir-74 microRNA precursor family", at positions 21 to 79 of the family's 80-position model. Lineage: Eukaryota; Metazoa; Nematoda; Chromadorea; Rhabditida; Rhabditidae. The record is from RNAcentral.